AUUGAAACAUUGGUUCUCAUACAAUCAUCAAAAUUAAGCAACAUUGAGCCUGGUCAGUACCUAGAUGGGUGACCACUUGAGAAUACCAUGUGCUGUAA
Molecule: non-coding RNA, 98 nt
Organism: Acanthosepion pharaonis
Lineage: Eukaryota; Metazoa; Mollusca; Cephalopoda; Sepiida; Sepiidae
Source: the annotation of a GenBank genome assembly